This 61-nucleotide small nuclear RNA is filed under the name Mus pahari (shrew mouse). RNAcentral describes it as "predicted gene, 22841 (MGP_PahariEiJ_G0033428.1)". The record is from RNAcentral. Lineage: Eukaryota; Metazoa; Chordata; Mammalia; Rodentia; Muridae.
AGCUAUUACAGGUCUUUUACAAUUUUGCUCACAGGUUUUCAGACUUCAGUCAAAAACUCAU